Molecule: ribosomal RNA, 1368 nt
Filed under: uncultured bacterium
Lineage: Bacteria
Description: bacterial SSU rRNA
Rfam family: Bacterial small subunit ribosomal RNA
Source: RNAcentral
AGAGUUUGAUCCUGGCUCAGGACGAACGCUGGCGGCGCGCCUAACACAUGCAAGUCGAACGAGCGAGAGAGAGCUUGCUUUCUCGAGCGAGUGGCGGACGGGUGAGUAACGCGUGAGCAACCUUUCCCAGACAGGGGAAUAACACACCGAAAGGUGUACUAAUACCGCAUAAGACCACGGGAUCACAUGGUUCUGGGGUAAAAGAAUUAUCGGUUUGGGGUGGGCUCGCGUCCGAUUAGGUAGUUGGUGAGGUAACGGCCCACCAAGGCGACGAUCGGUAGCCGGACUGAGAGGUUGAACGGCCACAUUGGGACUGAGACACGGCCCAGACUCCUACGGGAGGCAGCAGUGGGGAAUAUUGCACAAUGGGGGAAACCCUGAUGCAGCGACGCCGCGUGGAGGAAGAAGGUCUUCGGAUUGUAAACUCCUGUUGUUGAGGAAGAUAAUGACGGUACUCAACAAGGAAGUGACGGCUAACUACGUGCCAGCAGCCGCGGUAAAACGUAGGUCACAAGCGUUGUCCGGAAUUACUGGGUGUAAAGGGAGCGCAGGCGGGAAGACAAGUUGGAAGUGAAAUCCAUGGGCUCAACCCAUGAACUGCUUUCAAAACUGUUUUUCUUGAGUAGUGCAGAGGUAGGCGGAAUUCCCGGUGUAGCGGUGGAAUGCGUAGAUAUCGGGAGGAACACCAGUGGCGAAGGCGGCCUACUGGGCACCAACUGACGCUGAGGCUCGAAAGUGUGGGUAGCAAACAGGAUUAGAUACCCUGGUAGUCCACACUGUAAACGAUGAUUACUAGGUGUUGGAGGAUUGACCCCUUCAGUGCCGCAGUUAACACAAUAAGUAAUCCACCUGGGGAGUACGACCGCAAGGUUGAAACUCAAAGGAAUUGACGGGGGCCCGCACAAGCAGUGGAGUAUGUGGUUUAAUUCGACGCAACGCGAAGAACCUUACCAAGUCUUGACAUCCUGCGACGGUUCUGGAAACAGUACUUUCCUUCGGGACGCAGAGACAGGUGGUGCAUGGUUGUCGUCAGCUCGUGUCGUGAGAUGUUGGGUUAAGUCCCGCAACGAGCGCAACCCUUAUGGUCAGUUACUACGCAAGAGGACUCUGGCCAGACUGCCGUUGACAAAACGGAGGAAGGUGGGGAUGACGUCAAAUCAUCAUGCCCUUUAUGACUUGGGCUACACACGUACUACAAUGGCGUUAAACAAAGAGAAGCAAGACCGCGAGGUGGAGCAAAACUCAGAAACAACGUCCCAGUUCGGACUGCAGGCUGCAACUCGCCUGCACGAAGUCGGAAUUGCUAGUAAUCGCAGAUCAGCAUGCUGCGGUGAAUACGUUCCCGGGCCUUGCACACACCGCCCGUCA